GCCAGCAGUGACUGCCAGUGCCAGUUUUCAAAGGCCCAACCAGAACCGUUCCUGUGGCAGCUUCAUUUUCCUAACUCCAUAAAACCCCAACCUGUUUACAAUAAAGAGCUUCUGUAUGGCAAUCUCCCGGAGUCUGUGCCGCUGACUUCUCGUCUUCUCUCCUCCCCUCCCCCCAGAGAAACAGGGACUGCACACAGGCAGCAGCAACAAGCCAGCAAAAACUACAAGAGGCAAUACACAGAGCACCAAUUAUUCCCCACACCCCGGUAUUCAGUGCCUGUUUGUUGGGGACAUCCAAACUGGGAAUGUAGGACUGAAUAUGAUCACAUCUGGAUUGAACCAGCAGGAAGGAUCUGGCCCGGGUGCAGGUCCACCUCUAGGGAAGUGCACCGGGGGCCCAGCAGAGCGCAGGGAGCCUCGGAUGGGAUCCAGCAGGUGGGUGGUAACGAGCCGGUCUCCUGAUGCAUCUGUGUCCAGCAGCACAAAGGAGGGCUCCUCAGUUCUUCCCAGGUCCCCGCAAAAGCCAGAGACUUGGGCUUCCUGAACUUGGCGGGCCACAGAUGCGCCUGACACCCAGCCACCACCCACAGCUGCUCUGGCUCUCAUCACUCCCCCAGCCAACAGGAAGACAGCGUCGUAGAUGGUUCCGAACAGUGGAGAGACCUAGAGGAGAGCAGAGUGAGGACUUAGAGCCCAUAAAUGGUGAGAAUUCGCUGGCCUGCAGGUCCCUUUAUUAGCUCCACUGAUUCUGAGGGUGCCGAUCUCCAUCCUCCCCAUUGUCUGUUGGUGUAGACUGCACCGCUUUUAGGAACUGAGUUCUCCUGUCACCACGACUGUGACUCGCCAUAGCCCAGACCUUCCUAUCUAGGUUGUUGCCUGGCUUAUACUUUUAACGCCGUCACCUGCCAUUCAUCUAAAGCCCACCCCCAUCCUUUGUUCAUGUCUUUCUGUUGUUGUUUAUUUAAUUUAUUGAGUCAUGGUCUUUCUAAAUUGCUGAGACUGACCUUAACCUCAUUCUAUAGCCUAGGCAGAUGUUGGAUCUACCUUUAUUCCUGCCUUCCUUCCUCCUUCCUCUCUCUUUUUCACUCUCUUACACACACACACACACACACACAGGGUCUUUGUGUUAUGUAACCCAGACAGGCCUGGAACUUCUGAACCUCCUGUUUCUAGGUGGGAACUCGGCAGACAGUGGUACAUCCCCAGCCAGAUGCUGAAGUUUUGAUGCUCCUGCUUCAGCCUUUUAAGUAGCAAGGAUUACUGGCCCACAUUACCAGGCCUGGCUUGGGUAUCAGUGUUUCUUCCAUCCUGACUCCAAAGAGGCACUACCAUUGCUACCUCUCCUCACCACUAUUCCCAAUUCCUAUUUCUUGGGAUGGUGAAUGCCAUGGAACACUAGUGACACCGUGUUGUGUGUGUGAAUCCUCUGCUAUGAGUGAACUUUCCUUCCGUUUAGGGAGAGAGACAAGGUUAAGGAAGUGCAAUAGUGAAGGGGCAGGGAAGUGGGAGGGACGAGAAGGAGGGAGGAAGAGGUGGAAGGUUUUGGGAGUAGUGACUCUCCCCCAGGUCACGAAUCAGAAUUAUCUAGGGGAGAAUGGGGCAGAAGAAAAACCGAGAGGACACAUUCAGGGAACCGAAAGUGGCUUAGUCUGGCCAAAGCUCAUGGACGAUGUGAGACUCAAGUCCUGCUAGGCCAUGCGAGGAGCCCUCCGUCUAGACAGAGCAAUGGAGGUCCCCAACUCAGGGUGCAGGACGCCAUUCACAAACAACCAGGAGGCUCUGAACCAUGGCUGGAAAAUGUACAGCACACCCCAUUUCUGAAGCCAGAUCUCUCGGUUGAUGGAGAGAAGCUGGGUCACUCGAGAGAUGGGAGAUUCCAGAAAUGCUGCGGCCGGAGUCAGCGCAGUGUCAGCAAGGGAGAAGAGUAUGAAAUACUGCGGCCUGAGUCAGGGCAGUAUCAACGAGGGAGGAGAGUAUGAAGGGAGUCUAAUGACCCGCAGGAAAAAAAAGCAACCGGGCUUCAUGCCUGGGUUUGUGGGGGACUAAGGGGAGAACCGGGUCUCCAGCGUGGACAGCUGGCAGCACCACUGACUGACAGCUAAUGAAAGCAUCUUUGCCCCUCACCUUUCCCUCUCCUUCCACUGACUGACAGAUUCCCCCAUCCCAUCUCACUCUUUAUUGAUUAUGUUGUUCUUUCUUCUUUCCUGUCCCAAAUGUCUCUGUGGAGAAGUCUAGAAGCAUUGGUGGGGAACGGUUCAGCAUGCCUCUGCACCCCACUCCCCACCUUAGCCUUCUUUCGGGGGGUCCCUUUUGAGUAUGGUUAUGGAUAUUUAUUCAUUUGGAAAAAUUGAUCCUAAGACUUCACACUAUUCCAGCAAGCAUCCUUCACUGUGCUGUCUAACCGUCUCUUGUUUUUGAGACAGGCCCCUCAGUUGACCAGACCCGCCUUGAAUUUACUCUACAGCUCAGAAAGGCCCUGCUCCUUCUGUUCUCCUUCCUCAAUCUUCCGAGUGUCUGAGACUGCAAACCCACGUCACGAUGCCCGGCUGAGUACAACCUUCUUGAUUGCUAAUUUUCUUCCCACUGAUAUCUAGCUUCCUUUCUGCCUCACUCGCUUCUAGACUCCCCGUGUGACUGGGGCGGAAUUAGAUGAUCUAAAUUGGAAUCCGGGAGAUCAAGGAAUUCUGAUUACUACCUGGGUGUUGGAAACUGCCUUUGGAUCUGAUUAUAGAGCCCCAACCUCAAGCAGUUGCGACCAGAGAACAAAGUUAAGACCCCAGAAGAAAUGUCUCUGAGCUAGGUGUGAAGGGUGAAUCUGCAUCCCUUGCCGUUCCCAGAACACCAGCUGCUUGGUAUGGAAGUCCCCGAGGUACUGGGAUAAACCUGCUGUGAAGAAAACUAAAAAUGUCGUGGCCAUUUAGGGUUUACUCCUUGGAGCUGGAUUUGAGAGGUCUCAUUGCCUACUCUCGGGGGUAAUCAUAGUAAUGCCCGAAGCAAGACCAGAACUUCUACAGCAUCCAGAAAACUCCAGAUCAGCGUGGCUGCUUAAGGUUCACUCCCUAUUGACUCCACCUCCCCUUUCCCACUGGCUCCACCCUCCUCUUUCCCACUGGCUCCACCCUCCCCUUUCCUACUGGCUUCAUUAUCCUCAUUCCCAUUGACUCCACCUCCCCUUUCCCACUGGUUCUACCCUUCCCUUUCCCACUGUCUUCACCUCCCCUUUCCCACUGGCUCCACUCCACUGUCUCCACCCUCCCCUUUCCCACUGGUUCCACCCUCCCCUUUCCCAUCGACUCCACCUCCCCUUUCCUAUGGUCUCCACCCUCCCCUUUCCCACUGUCUCCACCCUCCCAUUUCCCACUCUCGUCUUUCUGCUGGUUCCAUCCUUCUCUCCUUGUCUGCUUUUGCUCACUUCCCUGGUUCUCCUCCCUUGUCUCUAUUCAUUAGUCCGUCUACCUGCUGCAGGUUGAGGUCAGCGGGCAGCUCCUGGUGCUCUUGGGCCCUGCGCAGGCUGUCCUGCACGCUGCCUCCCGGAGGACAGUGGCGUGUGAGUGUGAGCACAGCAUCGUGUGCUCUGCGAAGCUGGGAGCUGUUGAUAAGUGGAGCCAGAGCCUCCGGGCCUGGAGACAACGCAUAGUGAAGCGUGUCGAAGGGCAGGAAGACCAGAGAGCCAUCAGCUAGGCCCAGCUCUUCUGCAGCUUCCAGCAGGUAGCGCUGCUCCUCGCCGCCCAGCAGCACCGAGUGCAUCACCAUGAUCACUACUGCAGACACAGAGGCUGGCUCGCUACACUGCCCGCUACCCGCAGGACCCGCCCAUCUCCCCUCACCUGGGAGCCUACCUCUAACUCUAGGGCCGUCCUGGAUCCUCCUGAGAGCCUCCCGAGCUCCAGACAGGUCUGAGGACUCCAUGGAGGUCACUGGGGCAACUGGCAAGCCCCGGGCCCUGAGUGCUGUAGACAGAACACGUCCCGCCUCCACCCACAGGUCCUGGGGCGCAGUGAUGAGGGCCAAGCGUGCCCAGCGGAAUGCUCGAAGAAGGACGUAGAGAGCAUCUGCAGCGGGGGUCACCGCCGGGGCUGUAGUACCCGCCGCCCGCGUGCCUGGGCAGCCCCAGGGUACCAGCGCUACUCCAGCCUCCUGGGCUAGUAGUUCAGCUGGCCGGCAGGCUGCGGGGUUCACUGGACCCACCAGACCAGAGACUCGAGAUAGCGCUGAGGACACAGCCCCUAGAGAGCCCGGGGUCAGGCAGGGCUCUGGCAGCAACGCAACCUCGAAUCGGGGUCCGCUGUCUAGGGCAAGGUCACGAUUCAGGCGGUCGGCGGCCAGACGCGCAGCCAGAUCCGGGCGGGCCCGGGCAAAGAUGGGGUCGCAAGUCCAGGGGCCCAGGAUCCCCACUUUGAACACGGCCGAGAGGGCAGCAGGCGGCGGGAGCAGUAACAGGAGCAGGAGUCCGGGCAGCCGAGACCCUGGCCAGCACAGGACCCGAGAAAGGCUGGACGAGGACUGCCACACAGAGACGCAGGACCUGGCGUCGGGAAGCCCACUCGCUGACAGGAGCCACGCGGUCAUUGCCUGCUUCUGUGAACACAGAGCAAGCAAGGGGACAGCUGAGAUCCCUAGAGCUCCCUUAGGGUUCUCCACUCUAGCCGGAUUUUCAAAUCCCUCCCAACCCUAAGGGUGUCUAGGCUUUCCACACACUUGGACCCUAGAUGGGGGCAGGGCACCGCCCCAAGGCCUCUUUGGCCUAGCCUGGCCUGGCCUGCUCGUCCCAGCUUGUUUAUUUGUUUAUCCUCCCUCCCCAGUCACUAUCCUCAGGUUCCGAGAAGAUACUCCCACGCCCUCACACAGGACCCGAGUCCACCUACUCGGAGUAGUCCAUUUACUACUUACCAGUUGUCUCCGCAAAAAUUGUAUCAGCUAAGAAUCAUCCCUGGAACUGGGCGGUGGUGGCACACACCUUGAAUCCCAGCACUCUGGAGGCAGAGGCAGUCGGAUCUCCGAGUUCAAGGCCAGCCUGGUCUAAAGAGCCAGACUGAUCUAAAGUGCUACAAAGAGAAACCCCGUCUCGAAAAACCAAAAAGAGUAAAAAAUUAAAAAAGAAAAACGAUUCAUCUGUGGAUACUAAAGCUAAGCGGGAAAUUUGAAGACCGACCGGAUGUUUUGUUUCCCAUGGUUAUAAACUGUCACUCCAUCUGUCCGCUUGUAGGUUGGAGGACAGCAGGCAUAGAAUUGUUGCAAUUUUAAUUGUAAAAAAACUCUCUAUAGUUUGGUGUUCUGGCCUUUAAUCCCAGCACAAGGGAAGCAAAGGCAGGUGGAUCU
Molecule: non-coding RNA, 5319 nt
Organism: Myodes glareolus (Bank vole)
Lineage: Eukaryota; Metazoa; Chordata; Mammalia; Rodentia; Cricetidae
Source: RefSeq, a predicted model, not a curated record